Molecule: non-coding RNA, 87 nt
Organism: Amphibalanus amphitrite
Lineage: Eukaryota; Metazoa; Arthropoda; Thecostraca; Balanomorpha; Balanidae
Source: the annotation of a RefSeq genome assembly
GCCCAGAUGAGCAUCGGAGGUCCGGUGUGCAGGCUUCAAACCUGUAGACGACGAAAGUCGUAGUGGUUCGAUUCCACCCUCUGGGCG